This 397-nucleotide ribosomal RNA is filed under the name uncultured bacterium. RNAcentral describes it as "partial 16S ribosomal RNA". It matches the Rfam family "Bacterial small subunit ribosomal RNA", at positions 523 to 918 of the family's 1533-position model. The record is from RNAcentral.
CUACGUAGGGGGCGAGCGUUGUCCGGAAUGAUUGGGCGUAAAGGGCGCGUAGGCGGCCCGGUAAGUCUGGAGUGAAAGUCCUGUUUUUAAGAUGGGAAUUGCUUUGGAUACUGUCGGGCUUGAGUGCAGGAGAGGUAAGUGGAAUUCCCAGUGUAGCGGUGAAAUGCGUAGAGAUUGGGAGGAACACCAGUGGCGAAGGCGACUUACUGGACUGUAACUGACGCUGAGGCGCGAAAGUGUGGAGAGCAAACAGGAUUAGAUACCCUGGUAGUCCACACUGUAAACGAUGAAUGCUAGGUGUAGGGGGUAUCGACCCCUUCUGUGCCGCAGUCAACACAAUAAGCAUUCCGCCUGGGGAGUACGGCCGCAAGGUUGAAACUCAAAUGAAUUGACGGGG